CUUCUCCCUUUCAUUCAGAUGGUCAGACGGUCGACGCCACCCAACAAUGCUCCAGCACUCACCGCGCUUAUUGAUCAUUGGCGGCCGGAGACACACAAUUUCCAUCUUCGGACCGGGGAGAUGACCGUGACGCUCCAGGAUAUUGCUAUGAUCACCGGUCUUCCUAUCGAUGGGAAUCCUCUAUGUAUGAGCACCGAUUCUGAUGGGUGGCACGCGUAG
RNAcentral lists this ribosomal RNA (219 nucleotides) under Triticum aestivum (bread wheat). RNAcentral describes it as "partial small subunit ribosomal RNA". Lineage: Eukaryota; Viridiplantae; Streptophyta; Magnoliopsida; Poales; Poaceae. The record is from RNAcentral.